RNAcentral lists this ribosomal RNA (367 nucleotides) under uncultured organism. RNAcentral's name for it is "bacterial SSU rRNA". It matches the Rfam family "Bacterial small subunit ribosomal RNA", at positions 527 to 896 of the family's 1533-position model. The record is from RNAcentral.
CGAGGGUGCAAGCGUUAUCCGGAUUCACUGGGUUUAAAGGGUGCGUAGGUGGGCAAGUAAGUCAGUGGUGAAAUCUCCGGGCUUAACCCGGAAACUGCCAUUGAUACUAUUUGUCUUGAAUACUGUGGAGGUCAGCGGAAUAUGUCAUGUAGCGGUGAGAUGCUUAGAUAUGACAUAGAACACCAAUUGCGAAGGCAGCUGGCUACACAAAUAUUGACACUGAGGCACGAAAGCGUGGGGAUCAAACAGGAUUAGAUACCCUGGUAGUCCACGCCCUAAACUAUGGAUACUCGACAUUUGCGAUAAACUGCAAGUGUCUGAGCGAAAGCAUUAAGUAUCCCACCUGGGAAGUACGACCGCAAGAUUG